UGAGUAACACGUAUGCAAUCCACCUGUAACAGGGGGAUAACCCGGAGAAAUCCGGACUAAUACCCCAUAAUAUGGGCGCUCCGCAUGGAGAGUUCAUUAAAGAGAGCAAUUUUGGUUACAGACGAGCAUGCGCUCCAUUAGCCAGUUGGCGGGGUAACGGCCCACCAAGGCGACGAUGGAUAGGGGUUCUGAGAGGAAGGUCCCCCACAUUGGAACUGAGACACGGUUCAA
RNAcentral lists this ribosomal RNA (231 nucleotides) under uncultured bacterium. Its description in RNAcentral is "partial 16S ribosomal RNA". It matches the Rfam family "Bacterial small subunit ribosomal RNA", at positions 107 to 334 of the family's 1533-position model. The record is from RNAcentral.